UCCGUUGUGGUCUAGUGGCUAGGAUACAUCGCUCUCAGCACUUGGAUUCGUUCAAUCUCAUUCCGAUGUGGCCGGGGUUCGAUUCCCCGCAACGGAA
Coniosporium uncinatum is the source of this 97-nucleotide non-coding RNA. The record is from the annotation of a GenBank genome assembly. NCBI's taxonomy places the organism in Eukaryota, Fungi, Ascomycota, Dothideomycetes.